RNAcentral lists this small RNA (104 nucleotides) under Maribacter spongiicola. RNAcentral's name for it is "Flavo-1 RNA". Lineage: Bacteria; Pseudomonadati; Bacteroidota; Flavobacteriia; Flavobacteriales; Flavobacteriaceae. The record is from RNAcentral.
GUUUAGUGCGUUAGGGAUUGAAGCGGCAUCUUUUUCUAUGCUGAAGUUUUGAAUUUAAGUAUGAAAAUUGAUUAGAAAAAAUACAGCUGAAAGCCCGCUCGAAC